Molecule: ribosomal RNA, 240 nt
Filed under: uncultured bacterium
Lineage: Bacteria
Description: partial 16S ribosomal RNA
Rfam family: Bacterial small subunit ribosomal RNA
Source: RNAcentral
CCGGCACGGGUGAGUAACACGUAUGCAAUCCACCUGUAACAGGGGAGUAACCCGGAGAAAUCCGGACUAAUACCCCAUAAUAUGGGCGCUCCGCAUGGAGAGCCCAUUAAAGAGAGCAAUUUUGGUUACAGACGAGCAUGCGCUCCAUUAGCCAGUUGGCGGGGUAACGGCCCACCAAGCGACGAUGGAUAGGGGUUCUGAGAGGAAGGUCCCCCACAUUGGAACUGAGACACGGUCCAA